This 304-nucleotide unclassified non-coding RNA is filed under the name plant metagenome. Its description in RNAcentral is "partial contains 5.8S ribosomal RNA, internal transcribed spacer 2, and large subunit ribosomal RNA". The stretch from base 1 to 105 matches the Rfam family "5.8S ribosomal RNA", at positions 50 to 154 of the family's 154-position model. The record is from RNAcentral.
GAAAUGCGAUAAGUAAUGUGAAUUGCAGAAUUCCGUGAAUCAUCGAAUCUUUGAACGCACAUUGCGCCCCCUGGCAUUCCGGGGGGCAUGCCUGUCCGAGCGUCAUUUCUGCCCUCAAGCACGGCUUGUGUGUUGGGUGUGGUCCCCCCGGGGACCUGCCCGAAAGGCAGCGGCGACGUCCGUCUGGUCCUCGAGCGUAUGGGGCUCUGUCACUCGCUCGGGAAGGACCUGCGGGGGUUGGUCACCACCAUGUUUUACCACGGUUGACCUCGGAUCAGGUAGGAGUUACCCGCUGAACUUAAGC